AUUUCUCUGAGAUGUUUGCAAGCGGGCCAGUCCCCUGAGCCGAUAUUUCAUACCACAAGAAUGUGGCGCUCCGCGGUUGGUGAGCAUGCUCGGUUCGUCCGAGAAGCCUUAAAACUGUGACGACACUUUCACCUUGAACCAAGGGUUCAAGGGUUACAGCCUGCGGCGGCAUCUCGGAGAUUCC
Molecule: non-coding RNA, 184 nt
Filed under: Salmonella enterica subsp. enterica serovar Nagoya
Lineage: Bacteria; Pseudomonadati; Pseudomonadota; Gammaproteobacteria; Enterobacterales; Enterobacteriaceae
Description: 6S RNA
Rfam family: 6S / SsrS RNA
About the family: E. coli 6S RNA was the first non coding RNA to be sequenced, but its function was unknown until recently. It consists of 184 nucleotides that fold into an extended hairpin structure with a large single-stranded internal bulge.
Source: RNAcentral